GACGGAGGAUGCAAGCGUUAUCCGGAAUGAUUGGGCGUAAAGCGUCCGCAGGUGGCAGUUCAAGUCUGCUGUCAAAGACCGGGGCUUAACUUCGGAAAGGCAGUGGAAACUGAACAGCUAGAGUAUGGUAGGGGCAGAGGGAAUUCCUGGUGUAGCGGUGAAAUGCGUAGAUAUCAGGAAGAACAUCGGUGGCGAAGGCGCUCUGCUGGACCAUAACUGACACUCAGGGACGAGAGCUAGGGGAGCGAAUGGG
Molecule: ribosomal RNA, 253 nt
Filed under: uncultured bacterium
Lineage: Bacteria
Description: partial 16S ribosomal RNA
Rfam family: Bacterial small subunit ribosomal RNA
Source: RNAcentral